CUUUUAGUUUGAUCCCUGGCUCCAGGAUGAACGCUGGCGGGGGAUGCCUAAUACAUGCAAGUCGAGCGAAUGGAUUAAGAGCUUGCUCUUAUGAAGUUAGCGGCGGACGGGUGAGUAACACGUGGGUAACCUGCCCAUAAGACUGGGAUAACUCCGGGAAACCGGGGCUAAUCCCGGAUAACAUUUUGAACCGCAUGGUUCGAAAUUGAAAGGCGGCUUCGGCUGUCACUUAUGGAUGGACCCGCGUCGCAUUAGCUAGUUGGUGAGGUAACGGCUCACCAAGGCAACGAUGCGUAGCCGACCUGAGAGGGUGAUCGGCCACACUGGGACUGAGACACGGCCCAGACUCCUACGGGAGGCAGCAGUAGGGAAUCUUCCGCAAUGGACGAAAGUCUGACGGAGCAACGCCGCGUGAGUGAUGAAGGCUUUCGGGUCGUAAAACUCUGUUGUUAGGGAAGAACAAGUGCUAGUUGAAUAAGCUGGCACCUUGACGGUACCUAACCAGAAAGCCACGGCUAACUACGUGCCAGCAGCCGCGGUAAUACGUAGGUGGCAAGCGUUAUCCGGAAUUAUUGGGCGUAAAGCGCGCGCAGGUGGUUUCUUAAGUCUGAUGUGAAAGCCCACGGCUCAACCGUGGAGGGUCAUUGGAAACUGGGAGACUUGAGUGCAGAAGAGGAAAGUGGAAUUCCAUGUGUAGCGGUGAAAUGCGUAGAGAUAUGGAGGAACACCAGUGGCGAAGGCGACUUUCUGGUCUGUAACCUGACAACUGAGGCGCCAAAAGAAUAUCGUGGGGAGCAAACAGGAUUAGAACCCCUGGGUAAAAAAA
Molecule: ribosomal RNA, 826 nt
Filed under: Bacillus cereus
Lineage: Bacteria; Bacillati; Bacillota; Bacilli; Caryophanales; Bacillaceae
Description: bacterial SSU rRNA
Rfam family: Bacterial small subunit ribosomal RNA
Source: RNAcentral